CCUACGGGGGGCAGCAGUGGGGAAUAUUGGACAAUGGGGGGAACCCUGAUCCAGCCAUGCCGCGUGUGUGAAGAAGGCCCUCGGGUUGUAAAGCACUUUCAGUGAGGAAGAACGCCUGGUGGUUAAUACCCAUCAGGAAAGACAUCACUCACAGAAGAAGCACCGGCUAACUCCGUGCCAGCAGCCGCGGUAAUACGGAGGGUGCGAGCGUUAAUCGGAAUUACUGGGCGUAAAGCGCGCGUAGGUGGCUUGAUAAGCCGGUUGUGAAAGCCCCGGGCUCAACCUGGGAACUGCAUCCGGAACUGGCAAGCUAGAGUGCAGGAGAGGAAGGUAGAAUUCCCGGUGUAGCGGUGAAAUGCGUAGAGAUCGGGAGGAAUACCAGUGGCGAAGGCGGCCUUCUGGACUGACACUGACACUGAGGUGCGAAAGCGUGGGUAGCAAACAGGAUUAGAUACCCUGGUAGUC
Molecule: ribosomal RNA, 465 nt
Filed under: Vreelandella stevensii
Lineage: Bacteria; Pseudomonadati; Pseudomonadota; Gammaproteobacteria; Oceanospirillales; Halomonadaceae
Description: partial 16S ribosomal RNA
Rfam family: Bacterial small subunit ribosomal RNA
Source: RNAcentral